RNAcentral lists this ribosomal RNA (392 nucleotides) under Leptogaster stackelbergi. Its description in RNAcentral is "partial large subunit ribosomal RNA". The record is from RNAcentral. Lineage: Eukaryota; Metazoa; Arthropoda; Insecta; Diptera; Asilidae.
AUAUUAACUGUGCAAAGGUAGCAUAAUCGUUAGUCUUUUAAUUGAAGGCUGGAUUGAAUGGUUGGACGAGGUAUAAACUGUUUUAUUUAAAUUUAUAUAAAAUUUUAUUUUUUAGUCAAAAAGCUAAAAUUCUAUUAAAAGACGAGAAGACCCUAUAGAUCUUUAUAUUAUUAUAUAUAAAAAUUAAUAAGAAUACUAUAAUUUUUAUUUUUAAAAUAUUUUGUUGGGGAGACAGCAAGAUUUUUUUAACUCUUGUUUUAUAAAUACAAUUAUUUUUGAUUAUUUGAUCCGUUAUUAUUGAUUAAAAAAUUAAGUUACCUUAGGGAUAACAGCGUAAUUUUUUUGGAGAGUUCAUAUCGAUAAAAAAGUUUGCGACCUCGAUGUUGGAUUAA